UGAGCGGGCGUGGGAGACGGAUCGUUUACUUUGAAAAAAUCAGAGUGUUUCAAGCAGGCAGCUCGCUCUUGCAUGGUACAGCAUGGGAUGAUUGAAUAGGACUCCGGUGCUAUUUUGUUGGUUUCGAACACCAGGAGUAAUGAUUAACAGGGACAGUCAGGGGCACUCGUAUUCCGUCGAGAGAGGUGAAAUUCUCAGACCAAUGGAAGACGAACCACUGCGAAAGCAUUUGCCAGGGAUGUUUUCACUGAUCAAGAACGAAAGUUAGGGGAUCGAAGACGAUCAGAUACCGUCGUAGUCUUAACCAUAAACCAUGCCGACUAGGGAUUGGAGGGUGUUCGUUU
The sequence is a ribosomal RNA, 344 nucleotides long. It matches the Rfam family "Eukaryotic small subunit ribosomal RNA", at positions 727 to 1069 of the family's 1831-position model.